CCUACGGGUGGCAGCAGUGGGGAAUAUUGCACAAUGGGGGGAACCCUGAUGCAGCAACGCCGCGUGGGUGAAGAAGUACUUCGGUAUGUAAAGCUCUGUUAGCAGGGAAGAAAAUGACGGUACCUGACCAAGAAGCCCCGGCUAACUACGUGCCAGCAGCCGCGGUAAUACGGAGGGGGCAAGCGUUAUCCGGAUUUACUGGGUGUAAAGGGAGCGUAGACGGCAAGGCAAGUCUGGAGUGAAAGCCCGGGGCUCAACCACGGGACUGCUUUGGAAACUGUGUUGCUGGAGUGCAGGAGGGGUAAGCGGAAUGCAUAGUGUAGCGGUGAAAUGCGUAGAUAUUAGAAGGAACACCGGUGGCGAAGGCGGCUUACUGAACUGUAACUGACGUUGAGGCUCGAAGGCGUGGGGAGCAAACAGGAUUAGAUACCCUAGUAGUC
RNAcentral lists this ribosomal RNA (440 nucleotides) under uncultured bacterium. Its description in RNAcentral is "partial 16S ribosomal RNA". It matches the Rfam family "Bacterial small subunit ribosomal RNA", at positions 338 to 795 of the family's 1533-position model. The record is from RNAcentral.